UUGUGAGUAACACGUGGAUAACCUACCUAUAAGACUGGGAUAACUUCGGGAAACCGGAGCUAAUACCGGAUAAUAUUUUGAACCGCAUGGUUCAAAAGUGAAAGACGGUCUUGCUGUCACUUAUAGAUGGAUCCGCGCUGCAUUAGCUAGUUGGUAAGGUAACGGCUUACCAAGGCAACGAUGCAUAGCCGACCUGAGGGGGUGAUCGGCCACACUGGAACUGAGACACGGUCCAG
This 236-nucleotide ribosomal RNA is filed under the name uncultured Staphylococcus sp. RNAcentral describes it as "partial 16S ribosomal RNA". It matches the Rfam family "Bacterial small subunit ribosomal RNA", at positions 106 to 334 of the family's 1533-position model. The record is from RNAcentral. Lineage: Bacteria; Bacillati; Bacillota; Bacilli; Caryophanales; Staphylococcaceae.